UUGAUACAUUAAUAGGUAGAUAGGUUAUCGUGCAUAGGACGAUGUUUGAGUGGAUGCACGUGAAAUAAGUGCAACAGUAUGUUGACUAAACAACCUAGCCCGUUUAUAUUUGCCUAAUAACUGUUUAUAUGUGAGCAUUUUUUCAUUUCGGAUAAGAAAAGUUUCAAUAGUUAGUAGCUAGCCAACCAGCGCAAUGGCACUGGCUAGCCGAACUAGCUACCUUUAUAACAAGGACACCAGGAAAAAGCUAUGGAGGUCCAGAUGAUCUAAACAGGUGGCUGGAGUGGAGGAGAGUGGUGAAAGACAGCAGUGAAAGAGGAUGCAGGAACACACCUUGGAGAAGAAAUGGCCCCACCUCUAUGUCUAGCCACCUCUGUCUAUUACAUUUAUACUUAUUCAUAUCCUUCCCCAAUGACACAAGUUUCUUAAGGGUGUUGGUGAUCUACAAUAUGGACUGAAAUAACUAGUUAUUUUGGGAGGGGAAAAACAACACUUCUUUACUUCAUUAUUUGCUCCAUACCAGACAUUGUGCAUCUAUUCAAACUCUCAUAAAACUAUCAGACGUGAGUGGGACAACUAAAUAACACCAUUGCUAUGUGCAGGCAACCCCAGCAAAUUCUGCCUCAGAUAACUUCCU
This is a long non-coding RNA of Esox lucius (northern pike), 637 nucleotides long. Lineage: Eukaryota; Metazoa; Chordata; Actinopteri; Esociformes; Esocidae. The record is from Ensembl.